CUUGAACGUGCGACGCCGCGUGUGGGAUGAAGGCCUUCGGGUUGUAAACCACUGUCAGGGGCUAACAAUAAGUGCGCAAUCCACAUGAUGAGUUAAACCCCAAAGGAAGUGACAGCUAACUACGUGCCAGCAGCUGCGGUAAUACGUAGGUCGCAAACGUUGUUCGGAAUUACUGGGCUUAAAGGGCGCGUAGGCGGUUUCGUAAGUCAAGGUUGAAAUCCGGCGGCUCACCCGUCGAAGUGGCCUCGAUACUGCGGAACUAGAAUCAUGGAGGGGUGCGCGGAACUUGUGGUGGAGCGGUGAAAUGCUCAGAUAUCACAGGGAACACCGGAGGCGAAGGCGGCGCACUGGCCAUGUAUUGACGCUGAGGCGCGAAAGCCAGGGGAGCGAACGGGAUUAGAUACCCCGGUAGUCCUGGCCGUAAACGAUGCGCAUUAGGGAGAGGGAGGCACCUACCCAUUCUCUCCCCAAGGGAAACCGUUAAAUGCGCCGCCUGGGGAGUAUGCUCGCAAGGGUA
RNAcentral lists this ribosomal RNA (517 nucleotides) under uncultured bacterium. Its description in RNAcentral is "bacterial SSU rRNA". It matches the Rfam family "Bacterial small subunit ribosomal RNA", at positions 382 to 896 of the family's 1533-position model. The record is from RNAcentral.